AGACGCUCUGUUUUGACGUGACGAGGAAAGGUUGAGUGUUCAAUGCGACACGUAAAUUAAUCCUUUGCAGGCAAUGACUGCCUUAAGUCUGGAACUCAUGGACAUCACCAAAGAUUGGGUUUGCAGUAUUUUUACACAAGUGCUUAAAACUUUUAACAGUACUGAAGCUUUGCAGCUGUAACACAGAUGCAGUGGGAGAAUGGCUGGCAAAUCAAGUGCAUGCAAAGUUCAGAAUGUGGCUAUCUACCCAUGCACUGAGGUGAGUGAUGGUUCUCAGAAAUGUUUGGAUGCAUAGUGCAUGUGUUCUGCAUACUUCAUGAGAGAAUGUACUGGCUCCUGGGUCAGACAUAACCCAAUGUUUGGCUAGUUUUUGUGUUACUCAGAUCCUGGGUCAGACGUAACCCAGCAGAUGAGUUAUUUAUCAUGGGGAUUUUGCAUCUCAUGAGAUUGCAGUUCUAAGCGCCAUCGCAUUUAUGCAUUUUUCGGUAAAAUACAGGUAUGUGUACUUUUUAUUUUAUCUAUAAAAUCGUUACCAUGCUGUAUAUAAUUCAAUUUUAUGCAUGGAAACAUACAGGCGCACGUGGGGAAUCACUUUUAACGAGUAUCACUGUCUUUUUGCGUGGUGGAAAAGCCUGAUGCUUUACAUAAAAUAAAAUAUUUUAUUUAUACUACUUAUAAUACUUUGGAUGUUAAAACAUGUUAAGCUGUUUAUUGUUCGGUAUUUUUGCAGGUUAUGGAGUCACAGCAUGUUUUGUCUAUGUAAAAUGCAGGGUGGGAGUCUGUUAGCAGUUCCCCGCCGAACACUACUCCAACUUGGGCAAGAGAACCAAUGUCAUUAAAGUGAAAACAGAAUAACCAAGCCUGGUGGAUUAAACGUGGAUUACUUCUUUUUAAUGUUGGAUUUUUCUUCUAAUGUUUGUUAAAUGAGUUUAAAUAUAGAACAAUAUGUGUAGCCUAUUAAAAAUUAUAUAAACAAUGCCUUUAAAUGAUACAUAAAGGAAGUUAUCAUACAAACCAGAGGUUGUGUGGAGUAUUUUAGAAAAGUUCAGUGGAUUUAAGUUAAUCUGUAAACAUUAAUGUGUGUACUAAAAAAAAUGUUUUUUAAUAUAGUAAAAAUGAAUAAACCCAUUAACUUAUGCCGGGUUAAAAAACCCAAUUUGCUGGGUAUAUGUAACCCAAGAUGGGUUCUUUCCUAUAUUUAUCCAAAUUGGAUUGUUUUUAACCCAGUGUUUUUUAGUGUAUGAUGGGUUGUAGCACUUUCUGUAUUAUCGCCCUAAACUGUGGAAUAAGCUGCCCCAUAAUGUUCGUGCUGCCUCCUCUCUUCAGACUUUUAAGUCUCAACUUAAAACUCAUCUAUUCACAUUUUUUCACUAAAUAGCUCAUGUACCCUCUGCUUCUCAACUUCUGUCUUUAUGACACAUGACCACCUUCUUGACAUAAUUGAUGUUCAUCAUAUGAUUGCACAACCUCUUAUUAUUUAUCUGUAGUUCUUUGUUGUCAGUAUUUGCAUGUCUGAAUGGCCCCUCCAUUCUGGCCUUUGUUUUUUUUUUUUUUUGUUUGUUUUUUGUUUUUUGGAGGCUCAGUUUGUAGUUAUAAGUUUCAAAGAAGGCAAUUAUAACAAUAAUAAAAGUAAAUAAUAAUAAUAAAUGCUUAUUUUAUUAGUUGCAAUGCAAAAUAGUUAAUGCGCUUAUCUAAUGCAGCCAACUGCAAUGAUAACACAACUGGUGAAAAAUUUAGAAAAUUUGGACACAGCAACAAGAGCUGAGUUUUCAUAUUUUGUGAUAUGAAAAAUAUAUCACGAUUAUGAUUUUGGCCAUGCCAUCCAGCCCGAUCACCAUUGGAUCUCCAUCCUACUGAGACCCAAUCCGAUACUUAAAUACAUUGCACACAUACAUUUAAGAGUAGUGAAAUCAUUCCAUCUUUUAAUCCUGACAAUCUAAUAACCUGCAUGUAAUUAAUAAAUCAUCUUAUUGUUGUUAUGUAACCUAAGCAAACUUAAUAUUAAAUAUUUUAAUUUGGCUUUUACCAUUUAAGCUUUUUUUACCAUGGCUAACUACAAGACUAAACUAAACAAUGUCUUUAGAAAUGGCUCUUAUAUGUUACCUGAACAGUAUUGUAGAUUUAUGAAAUUCUCAUUAUAUUUUGAUCCACUUUACCAAAAGUGAAAGACCACCGUAUACGCUGUAAAUCAGAAAGAUAUCUACAAAACUCUUUUGUUAUUUUGAGGAGUAUGAGCUCCCCUAGCUGAGAUUGGUUUAUCUCCAUUUUUCCUCUUACUCUUACCACAGUCACUUUGGCUUCACUGGGUUCUUGUUGAUAUAAACAUUACAUGUAUUUCACAUUCUCAGCAUGGUGUGAUGCUGCAGUGUAGGCGUGAUGGAGUAAAGCCUGAUAUGCCAACCACUGAGGAGUGACACAGAUCAUCACAGCCCUUGGAGGGAAGCCCUACUAACUGCACAGUAGCAGUUAGAACAUAAGUGUGUUUGGAAUCAAAAAGCAAAUUUCUUGCAGAGGACACACACUAUGAAUUUAUCCUUCUGGUUUUAUGAGUGUAUUUCAGUCCUGUGGGGAAAGGGAUUAAAUUUCAUCUUGCAUAAUUUCAGCAAUUAUGUAGUUGUAUAACAACUAAUGCUGUGAUUGGAUGUACCAUACUGUCAAAUGGCAGGCUAUUACAGCCUAAUUUAAUGUAUUCAAUUAUUAAAAAUGGAACACAUUUUUAAUAUGUGUGAGUGUUGUAUCAUAUCAGUUUUAUUUGUAUAUUGUUUUUCAUAAUACACUUUGCAUUAAAGCAGUUUUACAGAAA
Molecule: long non-coding RNA, 2803 nt
Organism: Carassius gibelio (silver crucian carp)
Lineage: Eukaryota; Metazoa; Chordata; Actinopteri; Cypriniformes; Cyprinidae
Exons: 5
Source: RefSeq, a predicted model, not a curated record